RNAcentral lists this ribosomal RNA (427 nucleotides) under uncultured bacterium. Its description in RNAcentral is "partial 16S ribosomal RNA". It matches the Rfam family "Bacterial small subunit ribosomal RNA", at positions 355 to 774 of the family's 1533-position model. The record is from RNAcentral.
UGGGGAAUAUUGCACAAUGGGCGCAAGCCUGAUGCAGCCAUGCCGCGUGUAUGAAGAAGGCCUUCGGGUUGUAAAGUACUUUCAGCGGGGAGGAAGGCGAUAAGGUUAAUAACCUUGUCGAUUGACGUUACCCGCAGAAGAAGCACCGGCUAACUCCGUGCCAGCAGCCGCGGUAAUACGGAGGGUGCAAGCGUUAAUCGGAAUUACUGGGCGUAAAGCGCACGCAGGCGGUCUGUCAAGUCGGAUGUGAAAUCCCCGGGCUCAACCUGGGAACUGCAUUCGAAACUGGCAGGCUAGAGUCUUGUAGAGGGGGGUAGAAUUCCAGGUGUAGCGGUGAAAUGCGUAGAGAUCUGGAGGAAUACCGGUGGCGAAGGUGGCCCCCUGGACAAAGACUGACGCUCAGGUGCGAAAGCGUGGGGAGCAAACA